Molecule: non-coding RNA, 203 nt
Organism: Oryza glumipatula
Lineage: Eukaryota; Viridiplantae; Streptophyta; Magnoliopsida; Poales; Poaceae
Source: Rfam
AAUAAGUGCAAUUUUUCACUAUUUAUUUCCAACGUUUGACCGUUCGUCUUAUUUAAAUUUUUUUAUAAUUACUAUUUUUAUUGUUAUUAGAUGAUAAAACAUGUAUAAUACUUUAUGUGGGCUAAUUUUUUUAAAGAAAAUCAUAAAUUUUUUAAAUAAAACGGACGGUCAAAUGGACACGAAUUUCCACGGCUGCACUUAUU